AUAACUGAAAGCGCACACCCACCUAUGUGGCAAAAUAGUGGGAAGAUUGAUGAGUAGGGGGGACAAGCCUACCAAGCCUAGUGAUAGCUGGUUGUCCAAGAUAGAGUUUUAGUCCAACUUUAAACUUACCCACAGAAUUACUUAAUCUCCUUGUAAGUUUAACUGUUACUUUAAAGAGGGACAGCUCUUUAGAGCGUAGGAAACAACCUUCCUAUAGAAAGUAAAAAAUAUUAUUACCACCAUACUUGGCCCAAAAGCAGCCACCAAUUAAGAAAGAGUUUAAGCUCAACGUCUAACUACCUUAAAUUCUAAGGAAAGAUUACAAAAAGUAAAAGAAACUCAGCAAAUCAUACCCUGACUGUUUACCAAAAACAUCACCUCUAGCAUUAACAGUAUUAGAGGCACUGCCUACCCAGUGACAUAUGUUUAACGGCCACAGUAUCCUGACAGUGCACAGGUAGCAUAAUCACUUGUUCCCUAAAUAGGGACUUGUAUGAAUGGUUACAUGAGGAUUCAGCUGUCUUACUUUUAAUCAGUGAAACUGACCUAUCCGUGAAGAAACAGAUAUAAACAAAUAAGAGAAGAAGACCCUAUGGAGCUUUAAUUCAUUAAUGCAAAUAAAAACUCAAACAAGCCUACAGGCCAACCUAAAUUAAGACUGCACUAGCCUAAGUGAGUUAAAACACACUGACCCAAUGAUUCGAUCAACAGAAUAAGUUACCCUAGGGAUAACAGCUCAAUCCUAUUCUAGAGUUCAUAUCGACAAUAGGGUUUACGACCUCGAUGUUGGAUCAGGACAUCCAAAUGGUGUAGCCACUAUUAAGGGUUUGUCUGUUCAAAGAUUAAAGUCCUAUGUGAUCUGAGUUCAGACUAGAGUAAUCCAGGCCGGUUUCUAUCUAUUUAACAUUUCUCUUAGUAUGAAAGGACAAGAGACAUAGGCCCACUUCAUAAAGUGCCCUCACUCCAUAGAUGAUGCUCUCUCAUUCUAACAAAUCAUCACACACACUAUUCAAGAACAA
Molecule: long non-coding RNA, 1019 nt
Filed under: Homo sapiens (human)
Lineage: Eukaryota; Metazoa; Chordata; Mammalia; Primates; Hominidae
Description: non-protein coding lnc-DDX18-9:1
Rfam family: Bacterial large subunit ribosomal RNA
Source: RNAcentral